GAACUGAAGAGUUUGAUCAUGGCUCAGAUUGAACGCUGGCGGCAGGCCUAACACAUGCAAGUCGAGCGGAUGACGGGAGCUUGCUCCUUGAUUCAGCGGCGGACGGGUGAGUAAUGCCUAGGAAUCUGCCUGGUAGUGGGGGACAACGUUUCGAAAGGAACGCUAAUACCGCAUACGUCC
Molecule: ribosomal RNA, 180 nt
Filed under: Pseudomonas putida
Lineage: Bacteria; Pseudomonadati; Pseudomonadota; Gammaproteobacteria; Pseudomonadales; Pseudomonadaceae
Also listed under: 1 other name
Description: partial 16S ribosomal RNA
Rfam family: Bacterial small subunit ribosomal RNA
Source: RNAcentral